CCUAUCAGUGUCCUCCGCCCUCCCCCUCUCUCUCUCUCUCUGACCAGCCCUCUCUCCUCUCCUCUCUUAAUAUUUUCAUUUAGGUUGACUGAUUUCCUCUCUGCCUGGCUUAUGCGACUUAUGAACUUACGAAGAAGAACGGCUCCACCAUUUUCUCCUCAAGCGACUGAUGAGCGUUCGACAACGAAGGACGCCGACUUCAGGCACGACGUGGGGCUACGAAGACGAAGGGCACAGCAGCUGCAAACGACCUUGCUCUGCGCCCAUGUGCGACCAUUGCUGCCAGAAUCUCAGUUGCCCAACCCAAGUACUUCAGCCAGCAACCCAUCUUCGGUCAUGCGCUUCUGCCAGCGACCAAUCUGCAACAUACAACUCCUUUAGAUGCCCUAUCUCAGCCUCUAUCUAUCUCCUUCACAACCAUUGAAAGCCACCUCGACUAGGACGUGGCAGAGGAAGAGGUAGAGCUAGUGGAAGCAGAGUUCCUUGGAUAAGAUUAAGAAGCCUUUGUACGAAAAACAUCCCGGGGUAGAGUUCUCUUUGAGGAUAGCUGAAGACAGUGAUACAGUUAGUACAUCUUACCUUUCUUAUGUGGAUAAUAGUGAAUGAUGAGCCUUGUUUGAAACAACUGUCUCAAACAU
This is a long non-coding RNA of Humulus lupulus (European hop), 638 nucleotides long. RefSeq lists it as uncharacterized. The transcript has 3 exons. The record is from RefSeq and is a predicted model, not a curated record. NCBI's taxonomy places the organism in Eukaryota, Viridiplantae, Streptophyta, Magnoliopsida, Rosales, Cannabaceae.